AUGAACGCUAGCUACAGGCUUAACACAUGCAAGUCGAGGGGCAGCAUUUCAGUUUGCUUGCAAACUGGAGAUGGCGACCGGCGCACGGGUGAGUAACACGUAUCCAACCUGCCGAUAACUCGGGGAUAGCCUUUCGAAAGAAAGAUUAAUACCCGAUGGCAUAAUUAGACCGCAUGGUCUUAUUAUUAAAGAAUUUCGGUUAUCGAUGGGGAUGCGUUCCAUUAGGCAGUUGGUGAGGUAACGGCUCACCAAACCUUCGAUGGAUAGGGGUUCUGAGAGGAAGGUCCCCCACAUUGGAACUGAGACACGGUCCAAACUCCUACGGGAGGCAGCAGUGAGGAAUAUUGGUCAAUGGGCGCAGGCCUGAACCAGCCAAGUAGCGUGAAGGAUGACUGCCCUAUGGGUUGUAAACUUCUUUUAUAUGGGAAUAAAGUUUUCCACGUGUGGAAUUUUGUAUGUACCAUAUGAAUAAGGAUCGGCUAACUCCGUGCCAGCAGCCGCGGUAAUACGGAGGAUCCGAGCGUUAUCCGGAUUUAUUGGGUUUAAAGGGAGCGUAGGUGGACAGUUAAGUCAGUUGUGAAAGUUUGCGGCUCAACCGUAAAAUUGCAGUUGAUACUGGCUGUCUUGAGUACAGUAGAGGUGGGCGGAAUUCGUGGUGUAGCGGUGAAAUGCUUAGAUAUCACGAAGAACUCCGAUUGCGAAGGCAGCUCACUGGACUGCAACUGACACUGAUGCUCGAAAGUGUGGGUAUCAAACAGGAUUAGAUACCCUGGUAGUCCACACAGUAAACGAUGAAUACUCGCUGUUUGCGAUAUACAGUAAGCGGCCAAGCGAAAGCAUUAAGUAUUCCACCUGGGGAGUACGCCGGCAACGGUGAAACUCAAAGGAAUUGACGGGGGCCCGCACAAGCGGAGGAACAUGUGGUUUAAUUCGAUGAUACGCGAGGAACCUUACCCGGGCUUAAAUUGCAUUUGAAUAAUCUGGAAACAGGUUGGCCGCAAGGCAAAUGUGAAGGUGCUGCAUGGUUGUCGUCAGCUCGUGCCGUGAGGUGUCGGCUUAAGUGCCAUAACGAGCGCAACCCUUAUCUUUAGUUACUAACAGGUCAUGCUGAGGACUCUAGAGAGACUGCCGUCGUAAGAUGUGAGGAAGGUGGGGAUGACGUCAAAUCAGCACGGCCCUUACGUCCGGGGCUACACACGUGUUACAAUGGGGGGUACAGAAGGCAGCUACCUGGUGACAGGAUGCUAAUCCCAAAAGCCUCUCUCAGUUCGGAUCGAAGUCUGCAACCCGACUUCGUGAAGCUGGAUUCGCUAGUAAUCGCGCAUCAGCCAUGGCGCGGUGAAUACGUUCCCGGGCCUUGUACACACCGCCCGUCAAGCCAUGAAAGCCGGGGGUACCUGAAGUACGUAACCGCAAGGAGCGUCCUAGGGUAAAACUGGUAA
RNAcentral lists this ribosomal RNA (1442 nucleotides) under uncultured organism. RNAcentral's name for it is "16S ribosomal RNA". It matches the Rfam family "Bacterial small subunit ribosomal RNA". The record is from RNAcentral.